Molecule: long non-coding RNA, 1516 nt
Organism: Pezoporus flaviventris
Lineage: Eukaryota; Metazoa; Chordata; Aves; Psittaciformes; Psittacidae
Exons: 3
Source: RefSeq, a predicted model, not a curated record
UUAUUGACACUCAGCUGUUGGUUGGCAGUGAGGGUCAAAUGAGAGCGUAAAUGCUAUUUAAAAUGAUAAAAGAACUAUGGAUUUUGAAAAUCAGCUCUCAGAUGCUUAUUCCAUGCUCUUCUGCAAGAGGAUAAGAGGUUUUAAGAUACACUGCUUAGUAGCUGGAAGUAUUUUUCCUAGUAUGUGUCUUUCUGCACUUGUCUGAACCAGACCUGGGCUGGAGUCUGAAUUCUCCUUGUAAACCAUGGAGUUUGUCAGUCAGAGCUCACAAGGUGUGGAUGGACUUCUGUGUGAGGUCUCUCUCUGGGGACAAAAGCUCCUUCAGCUUGCUGAAUCUUCAUAUGCAGCAGCAGGGCUUGCUAGAGGUGUGGCUGCAUUGAAUGCAUUGUUUAUCAGACUCUGGCCCACAGGCAAUCCCCACAAAUCUACUGAAGUCCCCAGAGACACAGCAGUCUUGGAAAGACUUAGCUGGUUAGUGCAUAGAUCCAUGAGGCUCUCAAAUGAAGUGCUUGCCUUCCCUGAAGUUCUCAGUAGGUGAAUCAGAUCAGAUGCUAAAAAUGUGAUGAUCUCCUCUCGUGAUCCCAAGGGACUGCAUCCAGCAAAUGUUCUCAGAAUGUGGUUAAUGCUGCCCUGUUGGUUACAGUCCUCAGAAACAAUGGGGUGGACUUGGCUUUGCUCUGCAGUAAUGCCUACUCUUAACAGAACAGGUUGACAGUUACAGCACUCUCUCAGAAGAUGGAAGAUGUGGGUUAUUGUGCUUUUACAGAAAGAAGAAAUUCACUUGUGCCUCCUGCUUCUUGGAUAGGUGCAGUAAGAACCAAUGUGGUGUAAGGAAUGAGUGCAGUGGCUGCAGUGCAGGCACUUGCAUUCACUGCCACUUUUCCAGUGAAUGGGGCUUUAGAGAAAGUUGAAAGCAAAGUUGCGGGUGCCUGCUCUUGAGCCAGUGCUUCCAGGCUGUGAAUCUUACAUGGUUCCAUGCAGACUUGAGUGAAAUACUCAAUUCCCAUUGAGCUGUGAGAUUUCAGAUAUGCUCUUGCCUGAUUGUCACUUUUUGGGUAGUCUUUGCUUGUUAGGCUGAGAUGUCAAACCUCCCACGGGAGUGCCUGUUCCCCACAUUAUGGUACAUUUGAUCUUAGCCCAUGGUUCUGAAUUCCACGUGAGAUCAAAUGCACAGAAGUUUCCUGUUUCAAUCACUGAUUUAGAAUUGUCUGGAAAGAUGGAAGGUGAAGACACACAGAAUUCAACAGAACUCUGAUUAUUUACGUCAGCUGAGGUAGUUUUUCCCUGGAAAUUAUUGGCAACACUGGUAAAUUUUGAUAUCACUCUUUUUCAUCUGUUUAAUUGUUUAACGAUUUAGCUGCCUCACAAGAAUACAUGUAAAAUUACAGCAUAGAAUUGAAGUUCAUAAUCUUUAUGUAAUCUCUCUUCCUCACAGAAUGUAAGAGCAGGGAACGCAGAGGAGCUCCGCAACUGCUCUCCAUUUUCCUCUCCUGUUAUUCUCCUCUAUUCCCCUUCU